This 9380-nucleotide long non-coding RNA is filed under the name Hordeum vulgare. RNAcentral describes it as "long non-coding RNA (HVUL_LNC010104)". Lineage: Eukaryota; Viridiplantae; Streptophyta; Magnoliopsida; Poales; Poaceae. The record is from RNAcentral.
GAGCAAUUUCUGCAACAAAUUAAGUAGAGUUUACCCAGAAUCCCAACCCGUAUGUUUCUCCCCUCUCCUGUAAAUCUCCACAACAAUAAGUAUAACAGUCAAUAUAUAUGGACACAGCUGCAUGAGGGCAAAUCAAGGAAAAACAGAAAAACACAUCAAUCAGGUUGCUUGUUCAAUAUACACACCUUCACAAACAUUAUCUUCUCCUUUUCAUAUUUUCUUUCUAGCACAUAAUAAGCACCAUCAUCCAUAUUUCAAAGUCCUGAUUGUUAAUUUUGCAUGUGUGUGUGGCAAUCUGGAUUCAGCAAAAGCUCUGAAUCCUUUCCUGGGAAUCUUAGUGUUAUCAUAGAUUCUUCCCUGCUAAAGAAUACUUGUUGGAAAUAAGAAACACAAGAGGUUUUAUAUGCUAAUAAUAAUAUGCUACAGAAAUACAAAAACCAGAAAUGAGAUGACCAAAAAAAAUGAGCUUGUAGUAUAAAUACCAACUGCAACUACCAACUACAAACGCCUUGUCCCAGCUUAUCAGGAAAUCAUCUUCUCAAGCGUAUAGUACAAAAACCAAAUACUUUGUAGAAGCAUAUAUAUGCACCCCCCCCCCUAUAUUUUAAUAUAAAUGCACCGUAAUUUUACGCCCCGCAAAUUUUAUUUUAUUUAAUACGUAAAAUAAUGAUGGUAAGAAAAUAUAUAAUGGCCAUAAAAAUAUUUUAUGUUACGUAAAAUCACAAACGUAAAAACAUAGUGUAUAAUAUGCACAAAAUGCUAUUUUCCUGGUCUUAUGACCUAUAUAUUUGUUUUCUUAUGCCAAAUUUUACGCAGUGAAUCAAUAUGAAUAUAACUAUUUAUAUUGCAAAUAUAAUUUAUUUAUAGAAGGAUCGUAAAAUUACCUUGGAUAAAGAAUAACUUAAGAGAGAGAGAAAGGCUCAAUGGCAAUGGGCAUAUGUGCAGUAGAGCCGUAACCUUAAAUAUUGUUGCCAUGCUUAUCUGCACUAAAAAGGAUAAAGAGUGACCCUGACCCAUGUGCAUUGAGGGGUACACCAAAGUUAGUCAUAUGCCUAAGCUUGGUUUGUGGAAAAGGAAAAAAACAAUUAUUUAUUGUAGGAACGGGGGAGAGAGGAGUACCUCCAGCACAAGUGUUUUGUGCGUGGCGGCUGUCUCAGGAACGGGAGAUGGCUGGGAGCCUCCUUUUAGGUUAGUCCCACUACAUGGGCCUGGGCCCUAAGAGAUAACUUGUAUGGGCUGGGCCAUACCAGUUCAACACUUCCCCUCAAGAUGGGUGGUAGAUAUCUAUCAUUCCCAUCUUGUCACAUGCCAAGUUACAAUCCUUUCUUCCCAGACCCUUUGUCAAACAAUCUGCAAACUGCUGCCCAGAACUGACAUGAGUAAGGCUGAUGACCCCGGCAUCAAGCUUCUCCUUAAUGAAGAACCGAUCAAUUUCCACAUGCUUUGUCCUAUCAUGUUGAACUGGGUUAUUAGCGAUGGCUAUAGCUGACUGAUUGUCACACCACACCUUCAAGGGCCCCUUCCUCAGAAGUUUCAACUCGCUCAGUAGGUACUUCACCCAGAGCAUCUCACACAACCCUUGAGAUAAUGCUCUAUACUCAGCUUCUGCUGUUGAUCUAGACACAACCGGCUGUUUCUUGCUUCUCCAUGAUACCAAAUUUCCUCCCACAAACACGCAGUAACCAGAAGUUGAUCUUCUAUCAUCUUGACAACUGGCCCAGUCAGAGUCACUAUAGCCAUCCACCUCAAGAUGUCCACUCUUCCCAAACCACAACCCUUUACCCGGAGUCCCCUUCAAGUAUCUCAGGAUUCUGUGCACAAUAUCAAGAUGCCCACUCCUUGGUUCAUGCAUGUAUCUGCUCACCACCCCCGUAGCAUACGUAAUGUCAGGCCUGGUAUGACACAAGUACAACAACCUUCCAACCAGUUUCUGAUACUCUUCCUUAUUCACUAGCUCUCCUGAUUGUGCUGUCACUUGGUGAUUUUUUUCAAUCGGAGUAGGGGCAGUACGACAUCCCAUCAUGCCCACGUCACUCAAGAGAUCCAAGGUGUAUUUUCGUUGGCACAAAGAGAUUCCCUUCUCUGUCCGAGCCACUUCAAUGCCAAGAAAGUAUUUUAGGUUACCCAAAUCCUUUACCUCAAACUCCUUGCUCAAACAACCCUUCAAUCUCUCUAUUUCCUCCUCAUCAUCUCCAUCUCCAGUGAUGAUAAUGUCAUCCACAUAAACAGCAAGAAUGGUGAUCUUCCGAUCAGAGUGCUUGUAGAACAUCGUGUGGUCACCGUUACACUGACCAUACCCCAUACCACGGACAGCACGUCUGAACCUAUCAAACCAGGCCCUUGGUGAUUGCUUCAGUCCAUACAAGGAUUUCUUCAGCCUGCAUACCUUCCCCGUAGUCUCUGAAGUACCAAAACCUGGUGGUAUUUCCAUGUAGACUUCUUCUUGCAACUCACCAUGCAAGAGGGCAUUUUUGACAUCUAAUUGAUGCAACUUCCACCCAAAGUUUGCAGCACAGGAGACCAAUAUCCUUACUGUGUUCAUCUUUGCCACGGGAGCAAACGUCUCAUCAUAGUCAAUUCCAUAAGUUUGACUAUAUCCUCUGGCGACCAAUCUGGCCUUAUACCGUUCCACCUUCCCUUCAGGAUUCUGCUUCACUACAUAGAUCCACUUACAACUCACUGCUUUCUUUUCUGUCGGCAAUGUGGUUAGCACCCAUGUCUUGUUUUUCCUUAGUGCUUCCAACUCUUCUAUCAUCGCUUCACGCCACCUCGGAUCUUGCUUUGCAGCCUUCCAAUCCUUUGGAAUUGACACAGUUUGAAGGGAGGCAACAAACGCCUUAUAUGUGGGUGACAAAGCCUUAUAAGACACAAAAUUGCCAAUAUCAAGAUCAUCACAAGCAUCAUCCUUCGGUAGAGCCUUCCUUGCUACUUCACCCUUUCUUGCCGCUUCACGUGUAGCCUUUCGCAAUGCAAUGGGCAGCUCCACUGUGUCAGAUGAGCUCGUCUCACUAUCUUGCUGCUCCCCCUGCACUCUUGCCUCACUGUCUUGCUGCUCCCCUUGCACGUGUGGUUGCCGUCGAGAGUACACUAGGGUGUUCGUCUGCCAUCGAUCCCGAACAGGAACCCGAAGAGCACCAAUCUUAAGUGUAUCGACGGUUGGCUCGACAGGAACCUGCACAUCAUCAUCAGUGAGAGUACUAACCGGAAUUGUUCCCACUGUUGGUUGGACCUGAACUUGCACAUCAUUAGCAGUGUUAUUGCCCACAGAAUCACCCUGAGUAUGAGACACAUCCUUCUCCCCCUCUUGACCAUCGUGCACAUGAUGUAGGUGGUCAAGCUCUGCAAAUAGCAGACUGAGAUCAGUCGGCGUACCAUAGAAUGGCUCGGACUGCCUGAAGAUAACAUCCAUACUCACGAACCUGCGUUUUUCAGAGGGAGACCAACAUUUAUACCCCUGCUGACUAGAAGAGUAUCCCAGGAAGACACACUUCACUGCCCGAGGAUCAAGCUUUCCAACAUAUGGUCGGUGAUCACGAACAAAGCAAGUACUGCCAAACAACUUUGGGGAAACAACAAACUUAUUAUCUCCAAUGAGCAACUCAGACGGAGAUUUCAUACCUAAUAUCCUGGAAGGUGUCCGGUUGAUCAGGUACGUGGCUGUCAUAACUGCUUCAUCCCAUAAGAACUUAGGCACAUUCAUGGUAAACAUUAAUGACCGAGCAACCUCAAGAAUAUGACGAUUCUUCCUUUCGGCCACUCCAUUCUAAGGUGGGGUGUCCGGACAUGAAGUUUGAUGAAGAAUCCCUUGGUUAGCCAUGAAAUCCCCAAAAAUAUUGUUCACAUACUCUGUACCAUUGUCAGUCCUGAGCACGUUGACCUGCACCUGAAACUGGUUCUUUACAAGAGCAUGGAAGUUCUGAAAACAGCUAAACACCUCAUCCUUGUGACGCAUCAAGUAAAUCCAAGUCAUACGAGAAUAGCAGUCAAUAAAGGUAACAAGAUACUUCUUUCCAUUCAUUGACACUACUGGGCUAGUCCAUACAUCCGAAUGAAUGAGCAUAAAAGAAGAUAUGCUCCUAAGCCCCUUACUCACAUAUGAGGCUCGUGUGUGUUUUGCAUAUUCGCAAGCAUCACAUGUCAACUUGCCAUUGCCUAUUCCACACAUAACAUCCGGAAAGAUUCUACUCAUCUUAUCAAAAGAUACAUGACCCAUUCUACAAUGAUGGAUCAUCGUCUGCUUCUCCUUGUCCUCCAUGGUCGCAGCACACACCAAGUUCGGUUGCACCUCCUGGUCCAUGUACCAGAGCCCCCUACGCCUGGUGCCAGUCUCAACCGUCUGGCUCGUCUAUCCCUCCUGAAUCAAGCAACCGAACUUGUCAAGGAUCACACGACAGUCUAUUUGAUCAAUGAGAGCACUGAAAGAGACCAAAUUGACAGGAAAAGUUGGCACAUGCAAAACUGACGAUAAUGAGAUGGUUGAAGUGCAUGUGACUGUGCCAACCCCUACGACAGGCUGAUUAAUACCAUCGGCAGUUUGUACAGUGCCCUUGUGAGUAGGAGCAUGCUUAUGGUAAGACUCAAACACACACGAAUUACCCGCAACAUGCUUAGAUGCUCCAAAGUCUAAGACCCACUCUAAAGCACUCUCAUUAGGAGGAAGACAUGCCUUCAUCGAAUUACCUUCAUCAGUGGAGGCCCAGUGAGCAAAGUCUCCAUAGGCCGCCUCAUCAACUCCCUUGCCCUGUGACGUCCCAGUGUCCUCUUCAACUACCAUAUGCGCCCUGCCCCCUAAGUUUCCUGAGUAGCCACCUCUGCCCCUAGAAAGUUGACCCCCUGAGUUCCAUGGGUAUCCACCUCUGCCUCGAGCAUACCUUCCUCUGCCAGUGCCCCCUCUGUUGUAUCCCCUGCCUCUACCACGAGUUGGACAUUCCCUCUUCCAAUGACCUACCUCCCCACAAAUAUGACAUUUGUUGGGAUCUCCCCACUCCAUGCGCUCAGUGACUGCAAAUGUCGAAGCUGGCACAAACUUCACGUUUGCAUGCGCAAGAGAUAGCCUCACCUCCUCUUGAGACAUUGCUGCAAUAGUCUCCUCAAUAGUUGGCAGGAGAGGUUGGUGCAACAGGGAAGCCCCCCUGCCAUGAAAGCAACCUCUGAGGCCUUCCAACAGUUUCAGCACGCGCCUGCGUGCAAUCCACUUGCGCCCUGACUCGAUGCACGCCGCAUCAUAGAGUUCCAGAGGAUCACAGUUAUCCUGCUCUGCCCACAAAGCCUGCAGCUCUGCUACAUAUGUCAUCACUGACAUGUCAUCGCCUUGGCGCAGCCGACUGAUCUUCCCCUCAAUCUGAGCAAUUAGCAUGAAAUUACCCUUGCCUGAGUAUUGGGUGGAUAGAGUCUUCCAUAUCUCGGCGGACGUGGAUAGUCCCUCCACAGAGCGACCAAUGGAGGGCACCACUGAGUUCAACAACCAGCCAACAAGCACAGAGUUUAUGACCUUCCACCGCUUUCCCUCCGCGGUAGUCUUGUCUCCGGGUUCAUCAACCGCACCCAAUAAGUGCCCAUCAAGUUCCUUCUGUUCCACAGCCAGCAAUGCCCUUCUGGACCAGCUCAAAUAAUUUGUGGCCCCCUCUAGCUUCAUGUCCAGGGGUGACAUUUCGAGCUUCUGAGCCACUUCCUGUCGAGGAACGAUGGCCCCAGAGUUGGAGUUGGACUCCGUGAGGAUCUUAGCGAGCUUCUCGAAAGCCUCAGCAAGCGCAUUUGGUUCAGCCAUCUCCGAUCCGGUAAACAGCAGCAGCAGCCCUCAGCAGCACAGCCCUACAGCUGCACGGUUGGUCCCUUUACACCCCCUGGCUAGCAGCAGCACCCAGCAACUCAGCAGCUCCAAGUGCAAGCAGCAACCACAGCCUCUUCCUCCAGCAGCAGUUCUCUCCCUUCUUCCUCUGCAAACAGCAGCAGUUCUCUUCCUCCUUCCUCUGCAAACAACAGCAGUUCUCUUCCUCCUUCCUCUGCAAACAGCAGCAGUUUCAGAGGAUCUUGGCCUCCAACAGCAGCCAACCCCCGCAGCAGUUCUCCAGCUCCCGGUCCCUGCAGACACACGCACACACACCAGCACAACAAGGAGCUGCCCUUCUCCACUACCCUUCUCCUCUUCUCCUCCCGCAGCACCACAGCCCGUUGGAGACCAAGCCGCUCCUCAGCUUCCUCCUCCUGCCGCGCAACACAGCAGCUCCACCUCUCCUUCUUCCUCUGCCGUGCAGCACAGCCUCCACCUCUCCUUCCUCUCCAACGAGCCGCACCUCCUGCGCAGCCACGCCACGCCUCCCAGAUCCGCCGCUGCCUCGCCGGACGCCGCCCAGAUCCAACGCCACCUCGCCGGACGUCGCCGUCGUCUUCUCAGGCCCCGCCGUCGCUGGCUCUGAUACCAUGUAGGAACGGGGGGAGAGAGGAGUACGGGAGGGAGAGAGGAGUACCUCCAGCACAAGUGUUUUGUGUGUGGCGGCUGUCUCAGGAACGGGAGAUGGCUAGGAGCCUCCUUUUAGGUUAGUCCCACUACAUGGGCCUGGGCCCUAAGAGAUAACUUGUAUGGGCUGGGCCAUACCGGUUCAACAUUUAUGUGCCUAACACACCAGCAAAUCAAAUGCAGCCUCCACUACAUGUCAAUAGUUCCAUGAAAAAAACAAAAAAAACUAAUACGAUAUUUAAUUGUAAGCAUACAACAAAUAGUACCACUCUAAAUCUGGUGUCGCCAUUCCUCAAAACAGAAAUUUUCAACCUUUCUUUUUUUUUAAAUUACAAUAAAGAGUAUCAAUGUUUAAGUUUCUAAGAAAAAAAGGAGAAGAAAAGUUUAGAACCAUGGGUUCAAUAUGAGAUUAGAACUACAGCCACCAUGCGAGUAGCCGAGGAUAGGGAAAUGUUGACAAUAUUAGAGCAUGUUUACGUCAGGAUAAAAUGUUGUCAAAAUUAUUCAUCUAGUUCAAUUAAGUUCUAUGAUGUAUAAAGUAUGUACUUGGCAAGAAAAAUACAAGGGGUUACCUGGAUAUAUGAUGCUGCAGUACACAUAUAUUUAUCUAACUAAAAUUAAGCCCACCACUUCCCGCUCUCAUAUUACUUCAGAAUCAUCAGUAUGAGAAAACAUUGAUACCCAUUACUUUAUACUGAUAAACUCCAUGCUCCGAGACAAGGUUGCACACGUCAUCGCCGACAAUUCCCUUCUCUUCUCGAAUCAACAUAUAACCAUGUUUUUAUCUUACAAGAGAAGGGAAUCCUCGCAAUCUGCUAGAUACAACAAGGUACUUUUGUAUGACGUGCCUGAGCCAUCAAUUUGCCGGUCCUUUUCUUCCUGAAACCAACAGAGACAACACCGACUGAUUUUCCAGCACGCAAUAGCUUCCCCUCAACUUCUAUUUCUUCCUGUAAAAAUAAAAGAAAUAGUUUACGGCAUGUCAAAUAACUAUUAAAAUAACAUAAGAGUGAAAAGACAAAGGUAUGUACAAAAUUAAUCAAGCCUUAUGAUGCUAUUCUAGCAAGAAACUGGCCAAAUCUGCCCUUUGGGGGGUAGGGGUGGGGGCAAAAAUUAUGAGAAAAGAUAACGCCCAUAUGUGUGGGUGUUUGCAAACCGUCCACACGCAUGAAUCUGCGUCUGUUUGUGCUUUGCAUUAAUCUUGGUAUUUUUUGAUAGUUUUUCUGUACCACGUAGGACUGAACUGGUGUGUCGGUAUUUAACCACUUCGCCCACACGGCCGUUUCUUUCUCAGCAGGAAUCUUUUUUGGUUUUCGGUUUAAAAAUGUUUUAUCAUGACAACUUCAGUGUAACAUCAUGACAACUGUUGAAGCACCCAUUUUUUUAAAUGUAACAUCAUGGCAACUGUUGUAACAUCAUGAAAUUUUUUUAAAUGUAGAAGAAAAAAUAGGUGAAACAUAUCAUGGCAACUUCAGUGUAAACACCAUGGCAUGGCAACUACAGUGUAACAUCAUGGCAACUGUUGUCCAAAAAAAUAAUUUAUCGAAAUAUAUUGAUAUGAGAUCUAGUUUCGAAGAUCUCGUCGCGAUGGAUUUAAUGAUAAAAACGGAUCUUCAAUCGGAUUUUUCAUUUACAAGAUAAAACAUUUUAAAAACUCAAAAUCCAAAAAGAUACCCACAUGCAUACAUGUGGUUUGGGCGUUAGCUAUUUUGCCCACACUCAGGCGUGUGAGCUAUUUCUCUUACACACCACACAAGAUGUAUGGGCAACACCCCUUAACACCCAGACGUGUGGGUGUUAUCAGGACCCAAAAUUAUAACCAAGCAACCUGAAAAGUACGUUUGGAUUUUUCAGAGCAAUAUUUGGACAACAUGACAAUAACUAUGAUCCUGAACUAAUUCUAGGAACCUCUUCAGAGCAAUAUCUGAACAAGAUGACAAUAAUUCAGAUCCUAAACUUAUUCUAGGAAACAUUUUGUACCCAGCUCCAGUCUGUAUUGAGCGAGUCAAAGGAAACAAAAAAUGAAUAACACCGUGUAAAUGCAGGCGCACUGAAUUCAACCAUCUUUUCUAAUUAGUACACACUUAUAUUCCUAUAAUAUUAAAAUGACUGGACGGUAAGAAGUGGUGGACCUUUUAUCUUGCCAAUUGAGAAAUAUUCAGUCGAGUAACAGACAAAAAAGAUCUCCACAUUUGAUCUGAACCAAUGAGAAAAGAGGGUCGUGUAUUUAACAUAGGUUCUGAAGUACGAGAAGAAUGCUCACCAAUUUGUUUCAGAUUCGAACUGAAUGCAUAAUAUCUUAGAUCGCGCAACCUAAGGUAAUGCAAAGAAAUAAAAUCAUACUAUUUAGGCAAUCCAAAUAGGCAUUGUAUGUACAGAAAAAUCAAAGGCGAAAUAGCAAAACAUCCAUGAAACUAAGCCAGUCACAUGAUGAUCAUAUUAAUGUCCACCUACAGCGGCCAAGUUUAGAAACCCCAAACGAGUGAGCAGAUGAAGCCAAGAAAAAGAAACACACUGAAGGGGAUCGGGAGACAGGGCCACCUACAUCGACCAAGUUUAGAAACCCCAAACAUGUGAGCAGAUCAAGCCAAGAAAAAAAAACACGAAAGGAGAUCGGGAGACACGACGGAGACCUUGAGGCGGGAAAGAGAGAUGGAGCGGGGUCGGGCUGCUUCUUCCCCUUACCUCUGCCCUCCCCCAUCUUCCCCACAAACCCCACAGCUGCUGCGUUGCUAGGCAUGGAGGGAGAGAGGAGCAGCAAAAGCAAGGACGCGGCGAGGAGGCAAAAACAGGCGGCGGACCUCCUUCAUCUUCCUUCCCCGUACCCGCACCCCACCGUCACUGGAGCUGCUCUUUUCCGGCUCGGAUCCGUUGUCUAGGUGUGUUUAUUUAGACUAACAUAGAUACUAGUAACAUAGAUGCC